RNAcentral lists this ribosomal RNA (1171 nucleotides) under Polyporales sp. RNAcentral's name for it is "eukaryotic LSU rRNA". The stretch from base 559 to 1171 matches the Rfam family "Eukaryotic large subunit ribosomal RNA", at positions 1 to 616 of the family's 3401-position model. Lineage: Eukaryota; Fungi; Basidiomycota; Agaricomycetes; Polyporales. The record is from RNAcentral.
CGAGUUUUGAACGGGUUGUAGCUGACCUCAAUUGGGGUAUGUGCACGCCUGGCUCAUUCCACUCUCAAACCCCUGUGCACUUAUUGUAGGCUUGGUGGGAUAGGCUGACUUUCAUUAGUCGGUCUUGAAAGCUUCGCCUAUGUUUUAAUACAAACGCUUCAGUUUAGAAUGUAAUCAUUGCUAACAAGCAAAUUAAAUACAACUUUCAGCAACGGAUCUCUUGGCUCUCGCAUCGAUGAAGAACGCAGCGAAAUGCGAUAAGUAAUGUGAAUUGCAGAAUUCAGUGAAUCAUCGAAUCUUUGAACGCACCUUGCGCUCUUUGGUAUUCCGAAGAGCAUGCCUGUUUGAGUGUCAUGGUAUCAUCAACCUUCAACACUUUUGUGAUUGAAGGCUUGGAUUUGGAGGUUGUGUCGGUGCAUUCGUAUCGACUCCUCUGAAAUGUAUUAGCGUGAAUCUUACGGGAUCGCCUUCGGUGUGAUAAUUACUGCGCCGUGGACGUGAAGUAUAACAGUGUUCGUGCUUACAAUCGUCUUUAACAGAGACAACACUUUGACAAUCUGACCUCAAAUCAGGUAGGAUUACCCGCUGAACUUAAGCAUAUCAAUAAGCGGAGGAAAAGAAACUAACAAGGAUUCCCCUAGUAACUGCGAGUGAAGCGGGAAAAGCUCAAAUUUAAAAUCUGGCGGUCUUCGAUCGUCCGAGUUGUAGUCUGGAGAAGUGUCUUCCGCGCUGGCCCGUGUACAAGUCUCUUGGAACAGAGCGUCAUAGAGGGUGAGAAUCCCGUCUUUGACACGGACUACCAGUGCUUUGUGAUGCGCUCUCAAAGAGUCGAGUUGUUUGGGAAUGCAGCUCAAAAUGGGUGGUAAAUUCCAUCUAAAGCUAAAUAUUGGCGAGAGACCGAUAGCGAACAAGUACCGUGAGGGAAAGAUGAAAAGCACUUUGGAAAGAGAGUUAAACAGUACGUGAAAUUGCUGAAAGGGAAACGCUUGAAGUCAGUCGCGUCGUCUAGAAAUCAACCUGGCAUUCGCUCGGUGCACUUUCUAGUUGACGGGCCAGCAUCAGUUUUGACCGUUGGAGAAAGGCCUUUGGAAUGUGGCACCUUCGGGUGUGUUAUAGCCUUGGGUCGUAUACAACGGUUGGGACUGAGGUUCGCAGCACGCCUUUUGGCCGG